This 400-nucleotide ribosomal RNA is filed under the name uncultured bacterium. RNAcentral describes it as "partial 16S ribosomal RNA". It matches the Rfam family "Bacterial small subunit ribosomal RNA", at positions 361 to 776 of the family's 1533-position model. The record is from RNAcentral.
AUAUUGCACAAUGGGCGAAAGCCUGAUGCAGCAACGCGGCGUGAGCGAUGAAGGCCUUUGGGUCGUAAAGCUCUGUCCUUGGGGAAGAAAAAAAUGCCGGUACCCUUGGAGGAUGCCCCGGCUAACUACGUGCCAGCUGCCGCGGUACUACAUAGGGGGCGAGCGUUAUCCGGAAUUAUGGGGCGUAAAGAGUGCGUAGGUGUUUUUGUAGGAGCAGGGUGAAAGGCUAUGGCUCAACCAUAGUAAGCCUUGCGAACUGUGAGACUUGAGUGCAGGAGAGGAAAGCGGAAUUCCUAGUGUAGCGGUGAAAUGCGUAGAUAUUAGGAGGAACACCAGUGGCGAAGGCGGCUUUCUGGACUGUAACUGACACUGAGGCACGAAAGCGUGGGGAGCAAACAGG